AGCGUAUAUUAAAGUUGUUGCAGUUAAAAAGCUCGUAGUUGAAUUUCGGGAUUGACGUGACGGUCGUGCCUUAAGGGGCGUGAACUGUCGCCGUUGAUUUCUCACCUUCUGGAGAAGCUCGAUGUCCUUAAUUGGAUGUCUUGUGGAACCAGGACCUUUACCUUGAAAAAAUUAGAGUGUUUAAAGCAGGCAUUUUGCUCGAAUACAUUAGCAUGGAAUAAUAGAAUAGGACGGCAUGGUUCUAUUUUGUUGGUUUCUAGGAUCACCGUAAUGAUUAAUAGGGAUAGUUGGGGGCAUUAGUAUUCAAUUGUCAGAGGUGAAAUUCUUGGAUUUAUUGAAGACUAACUACUGCGAAAGCAUUUGCCAAGGAUGUUUUCAUUAAUCAAGAACGAAAGUUAGGGGAUCGAAGACGAUCAGAUACCGUCGUAGUCUUAACCAUAAAC
This 443-nucleotide ribosomal RNA is filed under the name uncultured Glomeromycotina. RNAcentral describes it as "SSU rRNA". It matches the Rfam family "Eukaryotic small subunit ribosomal RNA", at positions 596 to 1037 of the family's 1831-position model. The record is from RNAcentral. Lineage: Eukaryota; Fungi; Glomeromycota.